GAGAGAGAGAGAGAGAGAGAGAGAGAGAGAGAGAGGGUGGGAGAGAGGGGAGGGAGAGAAUAUUAAUAUUAAAUGUAAGAAAAAUUGGAAAAUUAUAUAAAAAGCACUUUGCAGCGUUCUCUCUCUCUCUCUCUUUCUCUCUCUCUCUAUUUUGUAAUUUCUUUGCAUUAUAUUU
RNAcentral lists this microRNA precursor (175 nucleotides) under Olea europaea subsp. europaea. The record is from RNAcentral. Lineage: Eukaryota; Viridiplantae; Streptophyta; Magnoliopsida; Lamiales; Oleaceae.